Molecule: long non-coding RNA, 2166 nt
Filed under: Mus musculus (house mouse)
Lineage: Eukaryota; Metazoa; Chordata; Mammalia; Rodentia; Muridae
Description: RIKEN cDNA 4931430N09 gene (4931430N09Rik)
Source: RNAcentral
CACAUCUCCUCCUCUUAUAUCACAUUAAACGUCUCAAGCAGACUGGGAAGCAUGGCUAUGAGGCAGUGACUGAGUUGCAAAUUCUCUAAAUUCUACUGCAACUGAGGGCUGUGUUUGAACCAAGGGUAGCCAUGAGGUUGCUCCCACUAGGGCCCAGCCAGAUCUUGCCAGUGGCUUUAUGGGAAGUCAUAUUUUUCAAGGCUUUGGGUUGGAUCGGAAAACAUUUUUAUUCAAUAUGGCAUCCUGUGUGUUCAUUUUUCUUUUUCAGAUGACUGAAGGUGACACCGAGCCAGCUGGGAAGGCUGUGGGGCACCAGGGCUCACAUUCUACAAUGGCAAUAUCUGGGCACAAAAAUACAGCAAAAGGGCAGAACUCUCCAACUAUAAAGCACACUAAACAUAACUUCAAAAAGAAGUGUAUACGGAAUUUGAUAUAUAUAACUCUACCUAUAUAUAUGUUACUAAGUUAUUUUUCUUAACAAUGCUCUUGACAGUAGUGAAAACAGCCCUUUCUCAGAGUACUCACAAAACAGGAAAUUGGUUAGAUUAAUUAUAGUGCCUUUAUAUAAUUUGAUUUCACAAGUAUUAAAAUAAUAUUGUAGAUUUAUAUUUAAUGGUAAAGAAGAAUAUUUGUGGCAUAUUAUUAAAGGGUAAAUGGCAUAUUGCAUAGUAAUUACAUAUAGCAGAAUUUUAAAAAUAUAUGCUUUAAUAUUAUACCAUAUAUUGUUAUGUUUAAUAUUUAAUAUUUAUAUAUUUAUAUUUUAAUAUUCAAUACUUGAUAUUAUACUAUGUAAUUAUAAUAAUAUAGACUUGAAGAACAUGACUAUAUUAUACCAUGUCUGUGGGGCUGGAGAGAUGGCUAGGUGGCUAAGAGCACUGGCUUCUCUUCUAGAGGACUGAGUUCAAUUCCCAGCACCCACAUGAUGACUUGUAACUGUCUGUAACCCCAGUUCCAAAGAUACCUUCAUCUAACCUCCGAGGGUACCAGGCACACAUGCUGUCCAUAGACAUCAUGCAGGCAAACUACCUAUACACAUAAAAUAAAUAGUAGUUUUUAAAUAAAAUUAAAGAGGACAUAGUUUCCCUAAGGUUUAAGAAUUUUUCUUACUUUUUAAUAUAUAUAUUUUAAAUUUUCUAUGUCUACUAUAUGAAUGGGGAAUUAUAGCUUCUAAGUUUAUCCAUUAACUCAGAACAAGUGAUAUUGCUAGAAUCUAGAGAAAGGAGGAGGAGAAUCUUUUCUCAUAAAGCAAUUUGCAAUUCAUAAUAAGAUUAUCAGUUUGACCCAUAGACCUGUCAAAGGGUUCUGAGGUCUAAGGAUGAUAGCUUCAAUUUGGGAACUGAGGGAAAGGGAUAGAUAGCUGGAAGAAGGCCUGGGGAGGGGACUCUUCAUUGUCAAGGAAUCUCCUCCCACUUGCAGGGCACCCUUCCUGCCUCAGGACACUCACAUGUGUCUAGGCCCUGGCCCAUGCAUGGUAGCACCCAUCACUCUUUUCUCUUGGAACCCACUGUGAAGUCCUCUUUCUGGUCCAUACCCUAUCUCCUCAGACUUCACCGAGUCCUCAGGGGCAAUGGAAUGAGAUCUUCCAGAACACUAGAGAGGAACUAUCUGUGGUCAGUACGGAGACUGGAAAGAAGUGACUACUUUCACUAUACCAACUGCCAUGACAGUGGGAUGGGAAGAUUUCUCUAUGAAGGACUCUCCAGGUCCAAACACAACACCCAAAGCCACGUAGCCAGGACCUGGAAGAGAUUCAGGAGCUUUCAUGGAACACUGGAAAAUCGAAACAGCAGCUAAAAGUGCAGCUACAGAAGCUUCCAGAUAAGAAUCUUCACUCCGGUUUAUCUUUAUGGUUUAUCCUGAAUGCCCAUUUAUAUCAACGGAAGCAGAGCUUCUCUGAGGACAAAGAUAUUUUACGCGCACAAGUAUUGAUAACCUGGAAUCAUGAAACUUUAACCUUGGAAGGCAUAUUGUAGCAAGACCGCGCCACUCUAUCAAAUUUCCUCCAAGCACUGUGUAUGCUUCUCAGGAACUUUCUGUGUGUCUGAUGACAUGUCGGCCUAACACGUUCAGCACAGAGGAGACGACCCAAAGAAAUAUCAUCCCUGAAGACUGUCUUCCCGAGGACGGGAGUGUCUGUUGGUAUAAAGAGUGCAGCAAUUUGUUAUC